This 346-nucleotide ribosomal RNA is filed under the name uncultured bacterium. RNAcentral describes it as "partial 16S ribosomal RNA". It matches the Rfam family "Bacterial small subunit ribosomal RNA", at positions 338 to 681 of the family's 1533-position model. The record is from RNAcentral.
CCUACGGGUGGCAGCAGUGAGGAAUAUUGGUCAAUGGACGCAAGUCUGAACCAGCCAUGCCGCGUGCAGGAAGAGGGCUCUAUGAGGUGUAAACUGCUUUUGUAGGAGGGUAAACGCAGAUACGCGUAUCUGUCUGAAAGUAACGUACGAAUAAGGAGCGGCGCACACCGGGCCAGCAGCCGCGGUAAUACGGAGGAGUCAAGCGUUAUCCGGAUUUAUUGGGUUUAAAGGGUGCGUAGGCGGUCGGAUAAGUUAGAGGUGCCAUCCCGAGGCUCAACUUCGGAAUUGCCUCUGUUACUGUUCGGCUAGAGCGUAGUUGCGGUAGGCGGAAUGUCUGGUGUAGCGG